AAGUCGUAACAAGGUCUCCGUUGGUGAACCAGCGGAGGGAUCAUUACCAGAGAGUUGCAAAACUCCCUUAUAACCCUUUGUGAACCUCACCCGUUCCGUAGUGUCUCCGGCAGGUAUCCCCAGGGGAGGGGACCUGUGCCACCAGGCGCCUGCCGGAGGGCUCAACACAAACUCUUUUAUGGCGUCUGCCGCUGCUGUCUGAGGCACUAUAGAAAUAAAUCAAAACUUUCAACAACGGAUCUCUUGGUUCUG
RNAcentral lists this unclassified non-coding RNA (252 nucleotides) under air metagenome. RNAcentral describes it as "partial contains small subunit ribosomal RNA, internal transcribed spacer 1, and 5.8S ribosomal RNA". The stretch from base 1 to 46 matches the Rfam family "Eukaryotic small subunit ribosomal RNA", at positions 1786 to 1831 of the family's 1831-position model. The record is from RNAcentral.